GGUAGAGGGGUAAAUGGGCUGUGGGGGUUCAUAACCACAGGUCAACAACAGGCUCUGGUAGAGGGGUGGAAGGGCUGUGGGGGUUCAUAACCACAGGUUAACAACAGGCUCUGGUAGAGGGGUGGAAGGGCUGUGGGGGUUCCUAACCAUUACAAGGCAAAGGCUUGUUGUCUUUGAUUCUAGAAAUGUGAAACAAACUCUUUUUAUUAUCCUGGGGCAUUAUCAUGAUCAUUAUUCUGUUUUAUUAUUUUUUAUUCUUAUAAUUGUUGUUGUUGUUGUUGUUGUUGUUGUUGUUGUUGUUCUGUAAGUAAAAUACUUCCAUAUACGGCAGG
Oncorhynchus tshawytscha (Chinook salmon) is the source of this 332-nucleotide long non-coding RNA. NCBI's taxonomy places the organism in Eukaryota, Metazoa, Chordata, Actinopteri, Salmoniformes, Salmonidae. The record is from Ensembl.